RNAcentral lists this ribosomal RNA (746 nucleotides) under uncultured bacterium. RNAcentral's name for it is "bacterial SSU rRNA". It matches the Rfam family "Bacterial small subunit ribosomal RNA", at positions 9 to 767 of the family's 1533-position model. The record is from RNAcentral.
GAGUUUGAUCCUGGCUCAGGAUGAACGCUGGCGGCGUGCUUAACACAUGCAAGUCGAACGAUGAAGCUGGAGCUUGCUCUGGUGGAUUAGUGGCGAACGGGUGAGUAACACGUGAGUAACCUGCCCUUGACUCUGGAAUAAGCGUUGGAAACGACGUCUAAUACCGGAUACGAGCUUCCGCCGCAUGGUGAGGAGCUGGAAAGAAUUUCGGUCAAGGAUGGACUCGCGGCCUAUCAGGUAGUUGGUGAGGUAAUGGCUCACCAAGCCUACGACGGAUAGCCGGCCUGAGAGGGUGACCGGCCACACUGGAACUGAGACACGGUCCAGACUCCUACGGGAGGCAGCAGUGGGGAAUAUUGCACAAUGGGCGCAAGCCUGAUGCAGCAACGCCGCGUGAGGGACGACGGCCUUCGGGUUGUAACCUCUUUUAGUAGGGAAGAAGCGAAAGUGACGGUACCUGCAGAAAAAGCACCGGCUAACUACGUGCCAGCAGCCGCGGUAAUACGUAGGGUGCAAGCGUUAUCCGGAAUUAUUGGGCGUAAAGAGCUCGUAGGCGGUUUGUCGCGUCUGCUGUGAAAACUGGGGGCUCAACCCCCAGCCUGCAGUGGGUACGGGCAGACUAGAGUGCGGUAGGGGAGAUUGGAAUUCCUGGUGCAGCGGUGGAAUGCGCAGAUAUCAGGAGGAACACCGAUGGCGAAGGCAGAUCUCUGGGCCGUAACUGACGCUGAGGAGCGAAAGCAUGGGGA